UCCGGUCCUCGGUAGUGGCUCGCGGAACCCGGCGACCGGCCGGGCUCCGAGGACCUCGAUCGAUGACCGCC
The sequence is a regulatory RNA element, 71 nucleotides long. It matches the Rfam family "Actino-pnp RNA". The record is from Rfam.